This 18-nucleotide small RNA is filed under the name Arabidopsis thaliana (thale cress). RNAcentral's name for it is "ATSL079010". Lineage: Eukaryota; Viridiplantae; Streptophyta; Magnoliopsida; Brassicales; Brassicaceae. The record is from RNAcentral.
UUGUUGUUGUUGUUCUUU